Molecule: non-coding RNA, 4154 nt
Organism: Labrus bergylta (ballan wrasse)
Lineage: Eukaryota; Metazoa; Chordata; Actinopteri; Labriformes; Labridae
Source: RefSeq, a predicted model, not a curated record
UAGGCACUGGAGCGCAUGUAAAGGUAUGUCAGGUUGCAACAUCAUGUAGAGCAAGCAGGGGAUUCCACCACUUAAGCAGGGGUGCCUUUUCCCCCCUUAUUUAUUUCAGUUUUAAAUAUUUUAUAGCCAAAAUAGUAAAGAAGUACAAGUUUAAUAGAGGAGAUAAGCCUUUCACUGAGUUGUUUUUUGUGUCUCCUCAGGAAAGACAAGACUUAAAUCUCUACUUUCUUGUUAAGCAUUGUGGAAAAAAAAGACAAAAGGAGGAUGGAAAUGUACGUUUGAAAAGCUUUUCACACCCCCAUCUGCCUAUCAACUGACUCCAUUCUUCAACUUGACAUCAUUCUUCCACAGACAAGAAGAAGAAGAAGAAGAAGAAGGAGGAGGAGGAGGAGGAGGUGGAGAAGCAGUGUCGGGGAGGCAAACAAAACAGACAGAGAAAGAGGAGGAAGAGCAAAGAGGAGGUGGGCAGCACAGUUUCAGCACUCACAGGGCUGAGGAGGAGAAAGUGAAAACAAAGAGAAGUUGGCCACUAGUGAGAUGAAAUUCUGGGAAGAGACGCUGGAGCGCUUCAGGGUACGAUAUCCACUGAGAGCCCUGAAAUUGGACUGCCUGGAAGACAAGCCAGCCCUCUCUGGAUCCUGUGCCCCUCCACAGCCAAAGGAUGAGAGGGGUUUACUUUCACCUUAGUUGCCAGGGAUGUCUGUGCACUACGGAAAGGCAUCCCCCUCCAGCAUGCCCAAUGCUAUGUUAUUCCUGAUGCUUUGCAAGACUGGUCAGAGACGGAAACUGCAGACUUUUCCUGGGAAAAUGGUAAACAAUCUACACAGUGAUGAGGAAAAGGGAAUCCAAGACAAGGAAAGUAAGGAGGAGAGCAUCUUGGCCAUGUUGGGCAUCAUUGGGACUGUCCUCAACUUGGUAGUCAUUAUCUUUGUCUACAUUUACACCACCCUGUAGAUUUUACAGUACUUUAAACGCAGCAGAAUAGAGCUGUCCGUGCCACUGCUGCAUAGCUAUAUUGACUGAUCUAGUUAUGAGGUUGACAGGAGGUGCGAUAAAAACGCCUACCUUCCCUGGAGGUGAACUGGAUCUAAGACUUUGUGAUCGCCAAAUGGCAUCAAUCCUGCAUCUCUUCAAACAGCCGAGACUAUGGGAAAUCAGCUUGUACCUCUUCGAUUUACAGCUGGAAAUAUCCAGAAUACCUUUAGUACACUUGUACAUUAACGCAUGAAGAUGGCAAGAGACGCUUAAAGGAUGCAGCUUUUUACCAACAAAGGGACUUCAGAGGCUGCAAAGAAAGCAUGGAUACUUUUGGAAAUUGUUUUUUUCCUCAAAUGAUUAACUGAAAAAUGGAAAUAUUACUGAUUUGCUGACAUGGGUUAAGGAGAAUAUGUACAGCGAAGGUACACACAGGUAUCUGCUUUGGUGUUUGUUGGUUUUUCUUAAUGAAUAUCUCAGUGAAACACAAUGUCAAUCUGUUUGUAUAAGAUCAAAACUGACUUCAUGUUUUUAUACUGUAUUUAUAUUUUUUCUGUAAUAAUUGACUUUGGAGAGUAGAUUAUUGAAGAGGUGACUAAUCAACUGAAAAUGGGUUACAUUCAAAUGGUUUUAAGUAGUUUAACCUGCACAUACUGCAGUGAUACAUAAUAUGGUGUUUUGAACAGGCAUUCAGUCAGUUUUAAAGUGCUAUCCAUGAACAUGUGCACUUGGAAAUGUGGUUCAAAUGGAAGAUCAGAAAGAGUGGUUUUAAUUAAGUUGCAAUGUCAUGCCACAUUUUAAUGUUUCACUUCACUUUUUAUUACUUCAGCGUCAUUCAUUGGUGAGAAACUUAUCUUAACAUUUGGUAAAGUCUCAGCUCGGAAGGCGGAGGACUGACUAGGUUGACUUUGAGUUCAGAUCAUGGGUAACACUUUAAUCUGUUCACCUGAAGGUCUAUAUAGAAUUUACACAACACGACAGCAAAGGAUAGUCUCCAUUUGUAUCUAUUAUUAUCAGUUUACAAUAUUCAAAAUGUUGACUUGUGUACAAUGAAUAUACUGUAUGCCUUAAAAUGUAAGGGAAUAACUAUUUCCAUGAUGUGUUAUCAGGUAAUUGCUACUUCGUGAAAGGAAACACUUGCUGUAUUUAUGUGUUCUUUGAUGCCUAUGACAUGUUUUUAAUUCUGAAAGUAUGUUUUAAUUUAUUGGGUAAUUCUUAAAUGAUUCUUCUUUGCCUGAAACAACUUGCAAACCCUUUGACUUCUUAAAUCAUGACCAUGUGAAAUUUCUAGAACUAGGUCAAUUUCUUUCAAUCAUUUUGACUAUUUCUGGGCAAUACUGUGAAUGUUGUUAAAUUGAUGUAAUCACAGAAGAAUUAUGAGUGACUUUUGGUCUCAAGUCAAAAAAUAUUUCCAUCUGAAAGGCUCUGAGGUUCCAUUUUUAAUUAGAUACGGUAGUAGUUCAACAGUUUGGGAAAUGCACUAUGAGUCUCUGCUGGUUGAAUUCUGUGAACUUUUCAUGAAUUUACAACCGUUGUACAUUAGGCACUGAUAGCCGUAUGUUUCACCUUUGGACAGACCUAUGCUAGGCAUUUCUACCAUUUACAUUCUUUUUGCUAAGCUGAUCGUCUUUGGCAGCCCACUUGCAGCAAAUGAUGUAAAAGUAAUGGGACUUCGGAACUGCAUGCAUUGCAAACACUAAAGUCCAAUAUUAGAUUGUGAUAACUCAUCCGUUUAGACCUUAUGAAGGAUAAUCAUUAUUCACAAGAAUGCGUGUAGUUGACCUGAUUGAUGGGCAGGCAAGGUGUAGCUGUUUGUCAAGAGGCUUAUGAUCCACCUCAGCUUCUGCUCUUGGACUGUAGUUAGGGUGAGACAGCAUUUCCAAAAUGCCGAUUGUCAUCAACGGGCUUCCAAAGCCCCCUGCAGUUCACAGUUAAGUGACGUCUAUUCACAUCAACUACAUGCUGCUUACUGUUACCAUGACGGUGGUCAACUCACUAUUGUUACGAUGGUGGACCAUUUGGAAAGAUAAUCCAAAAAAAGGUCACCAGACCCUGCUCUUCAUGUUGCUUCAUCCUACCAAACUUAAUUAAAAAACAUCUCAAUUAAGUCUUUUAAUAGAGUUUUCAUUGUGCAACUUAAACUUGGACAUGCCUCCCCUCCACAGUUUUUACAGUAAAGUCAAUCUCUCUUUACAGCUUCUUCAUAAAAAUGCAGAUUUGUAGGCGUAGGAAUAGAUUUUUGUAUCAGAGUGAUCUGGUUUAUGUUUGUAGUCUGAGAAGUAUCGUCCACUGGUGUUUUAGUAGACAUUGGUUAUUUGCAGGAAAACACGCAUAUGGAGAGCAAAUUGGGGGCAAAACAAUCACCCGGAAUUAAAUCAUCGAACCACAAUUAGCCUUUAGAAAAGGUCUACCUAAUACAAAUACUGCUUAUAAUACCCCUGACUAUCACUAACCGCUAGCUACACCAGUCGCCCCAAAAAGUCGACAGAAGCAGAUAUCAUCAUGCUCAGAAAAUAGUCAAUGGUUUCAAUUGAACUUCUGUGUAUCUUGGUGACUCACAACAAUGUAUUAUUUGUGUUAGGAUUUGUAUGAACAACUGGCUUUGGCUUCAAACUUAUAAUCUGACUCUGUAUGAAUGCAAUAAGCAUACUUUCCAAAAUGUCAAUCAAUCGGAAGUCUUUAAUUAUUAAUGUACCAUAUUUACAGCUUGUAGGGCUACAUGACAACAGGCUAUUCACAAUAAUAUUUGUUUUUAUCGGUCAACAACCUCAUUGUUUCAGAAAGUGCCUAAGAUCAAAGCGUCUCAACCUCAGCUGUCUUAAGGUGAAGGAAAAACUAACCAGUGAGAGGAAGACUUUAGCAGAAAAACCUGCCCCCUGAUCCACUUGCCAUUCAUUCAUUCAUUCAUUCAUUCAUAAAAGGACUUGAUUUCUACUUCACAAUCAAGUUAAUCAAUUAUUGCUUUUUUUUUUUGUCUUGGUGAGGUGCUUUUUCAACAGUAUCAGGAAAACGAAGGCCUAGAAAGCACAUGGACAAGUCUUACGAAUGUAUUCAUAUUCAAUGUAAAAAUGGAUUAAACUUAUGGUUUAUUUAUGUUCUCUUAAUAUGUAAUAUGUAUUUAUUAUCAUGUUUUAUUUAUUUAUGUGUAUGCUAUUUCAAAUAAACUAAUUUAAUAUUCU